UACGUAGGGUGCAAGCGUUGUCCGGAAUUAUUGGGCGUAAAGAGCUCGUAGGCGGUCUGUCGCGUCUGCUGUGAAAACUCAGGGCUUAACCCUGAGCUUGCAGUGGGUACGGGCAGACUAGAGUGCGGGAGGGGAGACUGGAAUUCCUGGUGUAGCGGUGGAAUGCGCAGAUAUCAGGAGGAACACCGAUGGCGAAGGCAGGUCUCUGGGCCACUACUGACGCUGAGAAGCGAAAGCAUGGGGAGCGAACAGG
This 253-nucleotide ribosomal RNA is filed under the name uncultured bacterium. RNAcentral's name for it is "partial 16S ribosomal RNA". It matches the Rfam family "Bacterial small subunit ribosomal RNA", at positions 524 to 776 of the family's 1533-position model. The record is from RNAcentral.